Molecule: ribosomal RNA, 274 nt
Filed under: uncultured bacterium
Lineage: Bacteria
Description: partial 16S ribosomal RNA
Rfam family: Bacterial small subunit ribosomal RNA
Source: RNAcentral
AUACGGAGGGUGCAAGCGUUAUUCGGAAUCACUGGGCGUAAAGGACGCGUAGGCGGGUUGGCAAGUCAGAUGUGAAAUCCUACAGCUUAACUGUAGAACUGCAUUUGAAACUGCUAACCUAGAGUAUGGGAGGGGGAGAUGGAAUUAGUGGUGUAGCGGUAAAAUCCGUAGAUAUCACUAGGAAUACCGAAAGCGAAGGCGAUCUCCUGGAACAUAACUGACGCUAAGGCGUGAAAGCGUGGGGAGCAAACAGGAUUAGAUACCCUGGUAGUCC